RNAcentral lists this ribosomal RNA (433 nucleotides) under uncultured bacterium. RNAcentral describes it as "partial 16S ribosomal RNA". It matches the Rfam family "Bacterial small subunit ribosomal RNA", at positions 29 to 507 of the family's 1533-position model. The record is from RNAcentral.
AACGAACGCUGGCGGCAUGCCUAACACAUGCAAGUCGAACGAGACCUUCGGGUCUAUGGGCGCCCGGGUGCGUAACGCGUGGGAACCUGCCCUUAGGUUCGGAAUAACUCCCCGAAAGGGGUGCUAAUACCGGAUAAUGUCUUCGGACCAAAGAUUUAUCGCCUUUGGAUGGGCCCGCGUUGGAUUAGCUAGUUGGUAGGGUAAAAGCCUACCAAGGCGACGAUCCAUAGCUGGUCUGAGAGGAUGAUCAGCCACACUGGGACUGAGACACGGCCCAGACUCCUACGGGAGGCAGCAGUGGGGAAUAUUGGACAAUGGGCGAAAGACUGAUCCAGCACUGCCGCGUGAGUGAUGAAGGCCUUAGGGUUGUAAAGCUCUUUUACCCGGGAUGAUAAUGACAGUACCGGGAGAAUAAGCUCCGGCUAACUCCGUG